This is a long non-coding RNA of Rhagoletis pomonella (apple maggot), 389 nucleotides long. RefSeq lists it as uncharacterized. The record is from RefSeq and is a predicted model, not a curated record. Lineage: Eukaryota; Metazoa; Arthropoda; Insecta; Diptera; Tephritidae. The transcript has 2 exons.
GUUACAUGGAGAAAACUGGACUUAUGCGAAAUUGGCAAUUGAAUCGUGCACUGAUCAUGCAAACAAUGUGGCCAGCAACCGGAGAUUCGAUUCCAGUCUGUCAAAAUGAAGGAUCACGCGAAACUUGUGCUUGUAAGCGUACGUACGCCAUCGCUAAAUGUCUGAUGAUUCGCUCUCUGGUGGAUGCCCGCAACAAGCCGGUCGUUUGACGAUAAUUGGCUCGCCACAAGCAGUUCGAUAAGCAGCUGCAGAUACACUUUUCAAUGUUUAUUCUAUUCGAAGUUGUGUGCUUUAUUGUUAUGUAAAUGUAUCUACGAGAAUAUCGCCAAUUAUCACUUGCUUUAAUAAAUAAAUGUGCGCUUUGUUUCAAGCGUUUAAUCUGCUUCAAA